GACGAACGCUGGCGGCGUGCCUAAUACAUGCGAGUAGAACGCUGAAGGAGGAGCUUGCUUCUCUGGAUGAGUUGCGAACGGGUGAGUAACGCGUAGGUAACCUGCCUGGUAGCGGGGGAUAACUAUUGGAAACGAUAGCUAAUACCGCAUAAUAGCAGUUGUUGCAUGACAACUGUUUGAAAGGUGCAAAUGCAUCACUACCAGAUGGACCUGCGUUGUAUUAGCUAGUUGGUGGGGUAAAGGCUCACCAAGGCGACGAUACAUAGCCGACCUGAGAGGGUGAUCGGCCACACUGGGACUGAGACACGGCCCAGACUCCUACGGGAGGCAGCAGUAGGGAAUCUUCGGCAAUGGACGGAAGUCUGACCGAGCAACGCCGCGUGAGUGAAGAAGGUUUUCGGAUCGUAAAGCUCUGUUGUAAGAGAAGAACGAGGGUGAGAGUGGAAAGUUCACACUGUGACGGUAUCUUACCAGAAAGGGACGGCUAACUACGUG
Molecule: ribosomal RNA, 495 nt
Filed under: uncultured bacterium
Lineage: Bacteria
Description: partial 16S ribosomal RNA
Rfam family: Bacterial small subunit ribosomal RNA
Source: RNAcentral